UCCAGCAAGCCUUUUUUCAACCUUUGACCUCGGAUCAGGUAGGGAUACCCGCUGAACUUA
RNAcentral lists this ribosomal RNA (60 nucleotides) under Alternaria infectoria. RNAcentral describes it as "partial 28S ribosomal RNA". The record is from RNAcentral. Lineage: Eukaryota; Fungi; Ascomycota; Dothideomycetes; Pleosporales; Pleosporaceae.